UGGGGAAUUUUCCGCAAUGGGCGCAAGCCUGACGGAGCAAUACCGCGUGAGGGAGGAAGGCUUUUGGGUUGUAAACCUCUUUUCUCAAGGAAGAAGCACUGACGGUACUUGAGGAAUCAGCAUCGGCUAACUCCGUGCCAGCAGCCGCGGUAAUACGGAGGGGGCAAGCGUUGUUCGGAAUUACUGGGCGUAAAGGGCGCGUAGGCGGACGAUCAAGUUAGGGGUGAAAGGCCCGGGCUCAACCUGGGAACUGCCUCUAAAACUGAUAGUCUUGAGUCCGGGAGAGGAUGGCGGAAUUCCUAGUGUAGAGGUGAAAUUCGUAGAUAUUAGGAAGAACACCGGUGGCGAAGGCGGCCAUCUGGUCCGGCACUGACGCUGAGGCGCGAAAGCGUGGGGAGCAAACAGGAUUAGAUACCCCCGUAGUCC
Molecule: ribosomal RNA, 426 nt
Filed under: uncultured prokaryote
Description: bacterial SSU rRNA
Rfam family: Bacterial small subunit ribosomal RNA
Source: RNAcentral